This 253-nucleotide ribosomal RNA is filed under the name uncultured bacterium. RNAcentral's name for it is "partial 16S ribosomal RNA". It matches the Rfam family "Bacterial small subunit ribosomal RNA", at positions 524 to 776 of the family's 1533-position model. The record is from RNAcentral.
UACAGGGGGUGCAAACGUUGCUCGGAAUUAUUGGGCGUAAAGCGCACGUAGGCGGUUCGUUAUGUCGGAUGUGAAAGCCCUUGGCUCAACUGAGGAAGUGCAUCCGAAACUGGCGAGCUAGAGUAUGUAAGAGGGUCGCGGAAUUCCCGGUGUAGAGGUGAAAUUCGUAGAUAUCGGGAGGAACACCGGUGGCGAAGGCGGCGACCUGGGACAAUACUGACUCUGAGGUGCGAAAGCGUGGGGAGCGAACAGG